This 5583-nucleotide long non-coding RNA is filed under the name Marmota monax (woodchuck). The stretch from base 1193 to 1261 matches the Rfam family "tRNA". The record is from RNAcentral. Lineage: Eukaryota; Metazoa; Chordata; Mammalia; Rodentia; Sciuridae.
GUAGAAAGUAGAAGGCUUUAUUAAAGGACAGCAGAAAAGACUUCUCCCUGGAGGAAGAAGGGGACCGGAAAGCGGAAAUUCUUGAUAAGUGGAUAUGUUUUAUUGUCUAGUAAUCCAUACUUCUUCACUCUAGGUUGUGAGAAAGAGAAUGGUAAAUGAAGUCAGGCAGGAAAACAGUGUGGGUAAUUCUCAUUGAAAAUAGGAUGAGCCCAAAGGAUUUUGGUAGCUGUUGUCCUGGCUGCUGACAGGCUAGGCUGCCAGUGCCUCAGUUUUGCAGUGAUAAUGGCCAUCAGGCUUAAUUCUUAUAUGACUCAAUCAAAACUCUUUCUCACUCUCUGUUUCUCUUUAAUAUCCCCACCAUCAUUAAUAUAAAAGCUGUGUGAAUAUUCAUUUUCAACAUAAACAAAAUCAAGCUAAAUCAUCAUGUAAGAUCCUUUCAGGAUGUCUCCACAUUAAGCCUUGCUUUCUUACCUAAAAAGCUUGUCCUUCUUUAUUUCUUCCUUUGAGAGAAAUCAUUCUUCAGACUAUCCCCUUCUCAUUAUUUAAAGCUCUCAUCAUCGGGCUCAUCACUUUGCUUUCACAGAGACCUGUGAAUGAAAGCUGGCUUUUGGAUAGAAAAUCUUCAGAGCACAUUUCCAGAAUUUUCCAGAAUUUAGGAGACAUUUGAAGAUUCCAAGCAAGGUCACACUGGGGGCCCUCCACUACUCCUAUAUAGAGAGACAUCAUUUCUAUGGCUUCUAGCAGGUAAUUUGUAGAGGAAAUUCAUGAAGAAAACUGUAAGCCCCUGAUAUCUACAGAUUAGGCAUUCAUAGAAUCAACCAUCCUGGGAUUUAAAACAUUCAAAACAUUGAAUCUGUCCUGAAACAUGUAAGGACUGAUUUCUUUUUAUUAUUCCUUAACUAAUAUAGUAUAACAAUUACUUCCAUAACAGUUAUCUUGUAUUGGGCAUUAUAAGUAAUUUGAGAUUAAUUUAAAGUAUAUAGGAGGAGGUACGUAGGUCCUAUGCAAAUAUGACACCACUUUAUUUAAAGGAUUGAGCAUCCAUGGAUUUUGGUAUCCAAGGAGGUCCAGAAACCAAUUCUCCAGAGAUACCAAGUAGAGACAAUAUAGACUAUAGUUCUAAGUAUUAUUGCUAAUUCUCAAUACAGGAUAGUUUAUACACAUAUAAAAGGAAAUUUUUUUUUUUUGAGCUGGAAUUGUGGCUCAGUGGCAGAGCACUUGCCUAGCACGUGUGAGGCACUGGGUUCGAUUCUCAGCAUCACACAUAAUAGAUAAAGGCUUGUUGAUAACAAAAAAAAAUUUUAAAAGGAAAUUUUUUCUUGAGUUUGUAAUCCUAGAGACUGCAAAACUCAGAAGAAGGAUAAUGCACUAAUCAUCAGGGAAAUGCAAAGUCACCAUGAAAUAUCACCUCACCCCAGUAAGCCUGGCUACUAUAAAAAAAUACUAAAAGUAACAAAUGUUGGUGAGUAAGGAUAUGGAAAAAAGGGAAUCCUUGCACAUUGCUGAUGGGAAUGUAAAAGAGUGCAGACAUUAUGGAAAACAUUUUGGAGGUUCCUCAAAUAAUUAAAAAUAGAACAACCAUAUGAUCCAGUAUUCCUACCAGAGGGUGUAUAUCCAAAGGAAAUGAAAUUAGUAUGUCAUAGAAACACUCGUGCUCCCAUGUUCAUUGCAGCAUUAUUUACCAUAGCCAAGAUAUAAAGUCAAUCUAAAUAUCCAUCAUCUAAUAAAUGGGUAAAUAAUACAUACAUAUGCACAAUGAAAUACUAUUCAACCAUAAAAAUUUAAAUCCUCUCACUUGCAACAACAUGGAUGGAACUGGAGAUCAUAUAUUAAAUGAAAUAAUCCGUGCACAGAAAGAUUACUUGCAUGAUCUUACACACAUGGCAUUUUAAAAAGCUGAUCUCAUAAAAUUGAGAAUACAGAGGUGGUCACUAGAAGAUUGGGAGUGGGAAGGGACAGGAAGAUAUUGACUAAUGGGCUCUGAGUUACAGUUAGAUAGGAGCAGAAGUUCUGGUGUGAUUCUAGAUAACAAUAAUGUACUGUAGAUUUCAAAAAGAUAAAAAAAAGGAUUUUAAAAGUUUUCACCAUGAAGAAAUGAUGUAUACUUAAAAGACAAAUAUGAUUAAUAUGUUUUAACCAUUGUGUAAAGCAAACAUAUAUCAAAACAUAACAUGGUACCUCAUUGAUAUAUACAAUUUGCAAGUUUUGUGUAUCAAUUAAUAAAAUAAUAUGCCAGGUAUAGUGGUGCAUGCCUGUAAUCCUAGAAGCUCCGGAGGCAGAGGCAGUAGGAUUGUGACUUCAAAGCCAUCCUCAGCAAAAAGCAAGGUGCUAAAGCAACUCAGUGAAACCCUGUCUCUAAAUAGAAUACAAAACAAGGCGGGGGUGUGACUCAGUGAUUGAGAGCCUCUGAGUUCAAUUCCUAGUACCAAAAAAAAAAAAAUUAUAUAUAUAUAUAUAUAUAUACACACACACACACACACACACACACACACACAUACAUACAUACACACACACUCACACACACACACGUGUGUGUGUGUGUGUGUAUGUAUGUGCCUGUGUAGUCAAAAAAUAGGGAUAAUAAAGAUGAUUAGAUGUUUAGUACUUCAAGACAUGAGCCCAAGUCUUUUGAAUGAAGAAGCAACAAGACCUAUAACUUUGCAUUGCCAACUAAUUAAACCAUCUCAGCCUGGUGGGCAUCCUUAGUCUCCCAAAGACCUGUUAAAAACUAAGAAAGUUAAGAUUUUUCCCCUUCAUUAUGAUCCACCCUGACCUCAUUUUUAGAUCAUUUCAACUUUUUCUUCUCAGUUACAAUCUUUCCUCCAAAUCUGGAUCCUAAAAGGAUUUGUAAAUGCCACUGUCCAGCCUCAACAUCUAGAGGUAAAGGAAAUAUUGUAAGGAAAUGCUGAUUUUUUUCCAUCUUCUUAUUUGUCAGAUUUUGUCAGCUUUUGUUGUUGUUAUUAUUAUUACUGAAUUUCUCUUUUUAUAUCUAGUGAAUCCAAGCAGAUAUUUGUCAGACUUUGAAGGAGACUCUGGUUUAGAUCAUAUGGCCCCUUAUCAGCCAUGAAAUUUAAGAGGGAUUAGAUUUAUCUAGACUUUCUCAGUUCUCCUUGUAAGUAUAUAUCUGUGUGUGAUGGAGAGAUCAGAAGAGGGAAAAGGUCAUAGUAACUCACAUCAUUUGGGGAGUUCUAGGGUGUAUCUCAGCUCAUGGCCUUGUUUUCCUCCCCCUAGUUCUGGCCUCUGUGGAUUCUACUUCCCCUGGCAAACAAACCCCAAGGAGGACUUAACCAUUUCUUGAAUUACUAAAUCAUGGCCCGGGUAAGUUACUGCUUAUUUCUCUUUCUGGAAAUAUUAUAAUGUUCAGAUCCUGUGAACAUUUCUUUUCUGAAACUUCCUGCCUAUCAAAGCUACAUCCAGGAACUUUCUCCUAGUUCUAAAUUCAGUGAGGGAUGAAGCUAAAUAUCACAAUGCUAUGAAACCUCUUUUCCCAAUCAUUGUGUAUUCAUCGAACAAAUCCUUUAGUAUCUCCUAUAUGUGUCAAGUCUUCUGCUAAAAGCUGUGAUGACACAGAAAUGAAGUUGCUCACAGGAGAUAUUUUACCAUCCCUUCUGAGUUGAUGAGAGAAGAUAGGUCCAUUUAACCACUUGUAGGAAAAUUAUGAACUUUUCUAUUCUUGAGUUUUCCAAGUAUAUAAGAUUUGCUGUUGUUUGGCUUCAUCCUCAGUAUGUGGGGAGGCACACUAGGGGCUGGGGUUGUGGCUCAGUGGUAAAGUGCUUGCCUAGUAUGCACGAGACACUGGGUUCAAUUCUCAGUACCAUAUUAAAAAAAUAAAGAUAUUGUGUCCACUUACAACUAAAAAAUAAAUAUUAAAAAAAAGAGUUACACACUAAUGGCCAGGCACAGUGGCACACACCUGUAAUGCCAGCAGCAAGGGAGGCUGAGACAGGAGGAUCGUGAGUUCAAGCCUAGCCUCAGCAACUUAGCAAGGAUUCCACAACUUAGUGAGACCCUGUGUUAAAAUAAAAAAUAAGGAUUGGGGAUGUGGUUCAAGUGGUAGUGCGCUAACCUGGCAUGUGCGGGGUGCUGAGUUCGAUCCUCAACACCACAUACAAAUAAAUGAAAGAUAUUGUGUCCACCUCAAACUAAAAAAAUAAAUAUUUAAAAAAUAAAUAAAAAAUAAAAAGGGGCUGGGUAUGUGACUCAGCUAUAAAGGGCCCCUGCAUUAAAUCCCCAGUACCCAAUCUGUCAUGCCAGGCAUGGUGUAAUCCCAGUAGCUCAGGAGACUAAGGCAGGAGGCAGGAGAAUCACAAGUUCAAAGGCAGCCUCAGCAAUUUAGCAAGGCCCUAAGUAACUUAGCAGGACACUGUCAAAAUAAAAAAUAAAAUAAAAUAAAGCUGGGGAUGUGGUGCCAUGGUUAAAUGCCCCACGAGAGUUCAAUCCCUGGUUAAAAAAGAAAAAAAAUUGUAACAAGGAAAAAUUAUUAAUAAUUGUCAUAUAUUCUGAUUUUGAAUAUAAACAGAAGAAAUUCUUUAACUGGACUCAGAACCUUUUCUUUUUCUUUUUUGUACUGGAGAUUGAUCCCAGGGUGCUUAACCACUGAGCUACAUUUCCAGCCAUUUUUAUUUUUAUUUAUUUAUUUUGGUACCAGGGAUUGAACUCAGGGGCUCUCAACCACUGAGCCACAUCCCCAGCCCUAUCUCACUAAGUUGCUUAGAACCUUGCUUUUUUGAAGCUGGCUUUGAACUCUCAAUCUUUGUGCUUUAGCCUCCUGAGCCACUGGGAUUACAGGCAUGCGCCACUGCACCCAGCCUUCCAGUCCUUUUUUUAUUUCACUUUGAGACAGGGUCUUGUUCAAUUGCUUAGGACCUCGCUAAGUUGCUGAAUCUGGCUUUGAACUCAUGAUCUCCUGCUCAGCCUUCCAAGCCUCUGGGAUUACAGAUCCCUUUUCUAAGGCAGAGAAUAGAGAGGUUUUUUGUUUUUGUUUUUAAUCUGUUAUUUAAGGAGGGGGGAUAGAAGAACUCAUGUUUUUGAGAACUUAUGAUGCAGACAUAUAACAGGCAGUUGCUUUAUUUAUAUACAGUAUAACAUUUACUUGAGGCUCGGGUAUCAUUUAAUAGGAAACCCCCCACACACACCUGUUUAGAUUAUUGAGGUAAACCAGUGUGUAAGAGGCUUAUCUGUAGCAACAGGAUUUUUUAAAAAUACCUUUAUUUAUUUGUUUAUGUGCUCUACCAAUGAGCUAUAACCCCAGCCUUGUAGUAGCAACAGGAUUCUUCAGGACCAGGUAGGUACUCCGCUUCAGGCACACUCAUUUCCGAACUGGGUAUAUUAACAACUUUCCAGCUUUCAAGGCUCUUUCCUCGCCAUCAUAUUCCAUUUCCUGCAAGAUUUUUUUUUCGUAUCAAUUAUAUGACAAACAAUGUUUGUCAUUUCAGGGAUCAGUGAUGUUCAGUGAUGUAUCCAUAGUCUUCUCUCAGGAAGAGUGGGAAUACUUGGACUUGGAACAGAGGGACUUAUACAAAGAUGUGAUGCUGGAAAACUAUAGCAACUUUAUCUCACUAGGUAAGGUUCUCUACCUUUAUA